CAGGGUUGGAACAUUCCGUGGUCCAGCAGUCAUCACCACAUGAAUACCUUGUGACUCUGUUCUUUGCGCUUUCUAGUUCCUGGAAUCUGGGUUGACUGGUUCCAGUAACUCAAGAAAGCACUUCAAGAGGCCAGCAGGGGCUGCUCUCUCAACUCCUGACUUAGGUUUUCUGCAGGAAAUCACGGCCAGGCCUAACAUCAACUGAAGUCUCCAAGAAGAAGAUGGGGCCCCACAACAGUAAUUCCACAUGGACAAUAAUAAUACCACUAAGCUGACAAACAUCAUCUACAGAUCAGCUUUGGACUACAAAGUGCUCAUAGCAAUUUUGAGGGGGCUAGCUGAGAUGAUCCAGUUUCAAAGACUACUUGAAUAAGGACUUGAGAUAAACCCUGAACUUCGGCAUUAUAUACAAACUGGACAACAAAGGAUAUAGCUACCUUUCCUAGAAUUUAACAAUUAAUCCAAAAUUUUUCUUUUCAGAAUAAAGAUACCUUCACCCAUA
Peromyscus eremicus (cactus mouse) is the source of this 502-nucleotide long non-coding RNA. RefSeq lists it as uncharacterized. The transcript has 3 exons. The record is from RefSeq and is a predicted model, not a curated record. Lineage: Eukaryota; Metazoa; Chordata; Mammalia; Rodentia; Cricetidae.